GGUACCAGAGGGAGGGAGGCAGGCAGAGGAGGGGAGAUGGGCACCCCCAGUCUUUCCAUCCUCCUCAUUCGUCUAGGGGCACCCGAAUCCCCUAUUCCUUAUUUCCCCUAUCACUCAGACACCAGCAGAUUCCUUUGCCCACUCCUGUUGGCUGCCGCGGCUCCAAAGCGAGUGUCUUUGUGACUGAGAAGGCCAGAGAUGUAGUGAGAAAGAACAGUGCCAUAUUUGGAAUCUGCUAGUCUGCUUCAAAUCUGAGUUUGACAAGCAAUGAUGAGUCCACGGGCAUUUAUCCCUCCUCUCAGAGUCAUAUGAAAAAAUGAAAGAUACGAGUGACGCAUGGAAGGAAGGAAGCAAGUAACCAAGAAAGAGAGAAAGGAAAGAAGGAAAAAGUUUGGAGAGAUGUAACAGCAAACUACAGUAUUUUCUCCAUUUCUCAGAGUCUCUUCCUUCAUGAGCCCACUCCUACCACAACCAUUCCACCAAAAUAGCUCUGCCGAAGGUCCUUGCCAAAAUAAAUCUGCCAAAGACCCAGCAACCAGGAUUUCAUGUCCUUUAAGCUGCAAAAGACAUCUGGAAAAAAUGCUGUGAAUUAUGAAAUUUAUAUUUGAAAAAUAUUUAAGACCUGAAGGCAGCACAAAUGCUGUCAUAAUUAUUCAAAUCCUGCCUAACAUAUAUGCAAUCACGAGGCUAAAUGAUGAGGAAAAUACGUGGUAUUAAAACAA
Molecule: long non-coding RNA, 722 nt
Organism: Gorilla gorilla gorilla (western lowland gorilla)
Lineage: Eukaryota; Metazoa; Chordata; Mammalia; Primates; Hominidae
Exons: 4
Source: RefSeq, a predicted model, not a curated record